This 470-nucleotide long non-coding RNA is filed under the name Rhinopithecus roxellana (golden snub-nosed monkey). RNAcentral describes it as "lncRNA (ENSRROG00000045849.1)". Lineage: Eukaryota; Metazoa; Chordata; Mammalia; Primates; Cercopithecidae. The record is from RNAcentral.
GGGGAGCGAAUUGCUUCUGAGGUUUGCUGACAUUCUGUUUGGCUGCCUGAAAUGCUUUCUCUUCAUUCAAAGAGCAGCUGCUGGUCUCCGCCUCUCUGUCUUUCCUUCCUCCUCCCAGUGGCUUCCCUGUUCCUGCUAUCCUGGCUUUCCUGGCUUUUUUGAUCCUCAUCCUGGCUCUGGGGGGAAGGAGGAUGGGUCUGGAGCACCUGUGGGACCCAAGCCUGGGCCCACCACAACAGAAGAUGCAGCUUCCCAGCCCCAAGAGCCCAAGAUUGGAGGCCCUGAGCAGAAGCUGGGAUACCAGGACCGGGAGAACCCCUGAUCUCCAGCAGGAGAUCACACGUCUGCCCUGCUGCCCAGGUAGCGUGAGGCACUCUGCUCGGCUUGUCUCCUGGGUGCAUUGGGCACCCUCCAUCCACCUUGGGAGGCAUGGCAUGGGGUGUGGCCUGCAGGCGGUAGCUUCUGCAUCA